This 420-nucleotide ribosomal RNA is filed under the name marine sediment bacterium BB0608_AND_6.1_8G0. Its description in RNAcentral is "bacterial SSU rRNA". It matches the Rfam family "Bacterial small subunit ribosomal RNA", at positions 108 to 513 of the family's 1533-position model. The record is from RNAcentral.
GAGUAACACGUGGGCAACCUGCCUGUAAGACUGGGAUAACUUCGGGAAACCGGAGCUAAUACCGGAUAAUCCUUUCCCUCACAUGAGGGAAAGCUGAAAGACGGCUUCUCGCUGUCACUUACAGAUGGGCCCGCGGCGCAUUAGCUAGUUGGUGAGGUAACGGCUCACCAAGGCAACGAUGCGUAGCCGACCUGAGAGGGUGAUCGGCCACACUGGGACUGAGACACGGCCCAGACUCCUACGGGAGGCAGCAGUAGGGAAUCUUCCGCAAUGGACGAAAGUCUGACGGAGCAACGCCGCGUGAACGAUGAAGGCCUUCGGGUCGUAAAGUUCUGUUGUCAGGGAAGAACAAGUACCGGAGUAACUGCCGGUACCUUGACGGUACCUGACCAGAAAGCCACGGCUAACUACGUGCCAGCA